UCUUUCCAAACAUCGUCAACACUCUUUCCGUUGUUAACGCUGUUCCGAUCUCCGAUACUCCGAUCAACAUCAAUCGCCAUCUCGAAGGGCUUUGAAUCAGACGCGAAAGUGUAAUCGUUGACUCCUCCGCCGUAAGCGAAACUGAUUCUGGAGUGAUCGGCGUGAGGAUUUGGUCGGAGAUGGUGCGAUGAUCUUAUAGAAGGGGAAGAUGAAGCAGAAGAAGAAUUACGGCGAGACAAGUCGGAAUUGGAAGAAGACAUCAACUUGAAGGACGCCAUUUCCGGAGCUCACUGGAAUUGGAACGAAUUUUUAUCUAUCUGGGUUUUGUCAAAGAGAAAGAACAAUCGGAAAUGGUGGAUUUUCUUCGAACCAGAGAUCGAGAGAGAUCUUUC
Long non-coding RNA from Arabidopsis thaliana (thale cress), 392 nucleotides. RefSeq annotates it as other RNA. NCBI's taxonomy places the organism in Eukaryota, Viridiplantae, Streptophyta, Magnoliopsida, Brassicales, Brassicaceae. The transcript has a single exon. The record is from RefSeq.